This 497-nucleotide ribosomal RNA is filed under the name uncultured bacterium. RNAcentral's name for it is "partial 16S ribosomal RNA". It matches the Rfam family "Bacterial small subunit ribosomal RNA", at positions 28 to 507 of the family's 1533-position model. The record is from RNAcentral.
GAUGAACGCUGGCGGCGUGCCUAAUACAUGCAAGUCGAGCGAACAGACGAGGAGCUUGCUCCUCUGACGUUAGCGGCGGACGGGUGAGUAACACGUGGAUAACCUACCUAUAAGACUGGGAUAACUUCGGGAAACCGGAGCUAAUACCGGAUAAUAUAUUGAACCGCAUGGUUCAAUAGUGAAAGACGGUUUUGCUGUCACUUAUAGAUGGAUCCGCGCCGCAUUAGCUAGUUGGUAAGGUAACGGCUUACCAAGGCAACGAUGCGUAGCCGACCUGAGAGGGGGAUCGGCCAAACUGGAACUGAGACACGGUCCAGAAUCCUACGGGAGGCAGCAGUAGGGAAUCUUCCGCAAUGGGCGAAAGCCUGACGGAGCAACGCCGCGUGAGUGAUGAAGGUCUUCGGAUCGUAAAACUCUGUUAUUAGGGAAGAACAAAUGUGUAAGUAACUAUGCACGUCUUGACGGUACCUAAUCAGAAAGCCACGGCUAACUACGUG